AGUGAACGCUGGCGGUAGGCCUAACACAUGCAAGUCGAACGGCAGCACAGUAAGAGCUUGCUCUUACGGGUGGCGAGUGGCGGACGGGUGAGGAAUACAUCGGAAUCUACUUUUUCGUGGGGGAUAACGUAGGGAAACUUACGCUAAUACCGCAUACGACCUACGGGUGAAAGCAGGGGAUCUUCGGACCUUGCGCGACUGAAUGAGCCGAUGUCGGAUUAGCUAGUUGGCUGGGUAAAGGCCCACCAAGGCGACGAUCCGUAGCUGGUCUGAGAGGAUGAUCAGCCACACUGGAACUGAGACACGGUCCAGACUCCUACGGGAGGCAGCAGUGGGGAAUAUUGGACAAUGGGCGCAAGCCUGAUCCAGCCAUACCGCGUGGGUGAAGAAGGCCUUCGGGUUGUAAAGCCCUUUUGUUGGGAAAGAAAAGCAGCAGGUUAAUACCCCGUUGUUCUGACGGUACCCAAAGAAUAAGCACCGGCUAACUUCGUG
This 492-nucleotide ribosomal RNA is filed under the name uncultured bacterium. RNAcentral describes it as "partial 16S ribosomal RNA". It matches the Rfam family "Bacterial small subunit ribosomal RNA", at positions 29 to 507 of the family's 1533-position model. The record is from RNAcentral.